CCCUUCUCAGGGUCACACCUGGAGAGUUUUCAGUACUCUACCAGUCUCGACUAUGGGAGGGAGAGCCAAGCAGAGGCCAACUAUUCCAUGCCUAGCUUGGACAGUGGCUAGUGAGUGGAAGGCAAUCUGCUACAAGU
Molecule: small nucleolar RNA, 137 nt
Organism: Tachyglossus aculeatus (Australian echidna)
Lineage: Eukaryota; Metazoa; Chordata; Mammalia; Monotremata; Tachyglossidae
Source: RefSeq, a predicted model, not a curated record